RNAcentral lists this ribosomal RNA (498 nucleotides) under uncultured bacterium. Its description in RNAcentral is "partial 16S ribosomal RNA". It matches the Rfam family "Bacterial small subunit ribosomal RNA", at positions 29 to 523 of the family's 1533-position model. The record is from RNAcentral.
AGUGAACGCUGGCGGCAUGCCUUACACAUGCAAGUCGAACGGUAACAGGUCUUCGGAUGCUGACGAGUGGCGAACGGGUGAGUAAUGCAUCGGAACGUGCCCAGUUGUGGGGGAUAACUGCUCGAAAGAGCAGCUAAUACCGCAUACGACCUGAGGGUGAAAGCGGGGGAUCGCAAGACCUCGCGCAAUUGGAGCGGCCGAUGGCAGAUUAGGUAGUUGGUGGGGUAAAGGCCUACCAAGCCGACGUUCUGGAGUUGGUCUGAGAGGACGACCAGCCACACUGGGACUGAGACACGGCCCAGACUCCUACGGGAGGCAGCAGUGGGGAAUUUUGGACAAUGGGCGCAAGCCUGAUCCAGCAAUGCCGCGUGCAGGAAGGAGGCCUUCGGGUUGUAAACUGCUUUUGUCCGGGAAGAAAUCCUCUGGGUUAAUACCCCGGGGGGAUGACGGUACCUGAAGAAUAAGCACCGGCCAACUACGUGCCAGCAGCCGCGGUAA